UAAAUCUUUACAACCAUUGAAUCUUUAUGUUUUGACCAUGACAGUUUACAAUCUAAGGUAACACCAAGUAAUUUAGUCUCCUCAACUUGUUCAACAGCCAUUACCAGAUUCAGCUGAGGUCUAGAAUGCCGCAAUAGUGAUUAUUGGACGACACUACAACUCAUCAUAACAGACACGUGUAUCACCUCAAAUAUAACGACUCAUACUACAUUCAGUUACAUUCUACUAUUGUUUACAUAUUGCGCGUCAUGUUCAAUGGGCCAAGAGAAUGAAAAUACAAGCGACAGAACCUAGCAACACUUUCCAGUGGAUAUCUCCAACUCCUACUGCCAAAAGGACCAGCAGUAUGUACAACCGGAAAAUCUGAUGUUUAGGCAAGCCCCAAGACAGAGCCUCUCCAACCCAAAGUUGUCCAACCAUCCCUACUUCACCCUGGAGAGACUGGGGCCUGUGCUUAGACCGCUGGCAGGUUGAGGUACAGUCAGAGGCCUGAACAGCGACUCCUUCAACUCUAUCGGUUUCUUGCUUGUAGUCUUGUUUUUUUCUCGCUCUGAACUGCUGCUACUUCAUGUAGUAGGUGUAUGGAUGCUCCAUUUGUGUAACGGCAUUGUUGUCAUCUCCUCUUUCUCCUCUUUCUCUAAUGUUUAUCUUCACUGAUACGCAAGUAUUUUAAAGUGUGCCCGACAACUGAUGUAAAAGGGCUUUAUAAAUCAAUGUUAUUGUACGCAAGUCUUUAUACUGCAUGUACUGGUUAUCUAAUCUUUCUCACUGGUAGGGUUCUGUUUUUUUCCGAGAUGGUUUCACUACAACAGGUGAUGAUACCAGGCAAGUAAUAUGCCAGUCAUCUGACGAUUUCACUGUCAAUAGUUUUACUUUUCUUCUGACCAACACGUUCCUCGCCUUUCCCACCUUCCCGGUUCUCCCCCAGUGGACAGUGUGUGACUUGAGUUUAAAUCUGCGGUGGAUCGUGGACUUGUGCAACCUGUGGUUAUACUGGACCUCGCUGAGGUGCACUGGGGCCAGGCUGAAGGUCUAGGAUGAUCCGAGUCCAGUAUUAGCAGGAGAGGAGAUGAGCAGAUUCCCCUCUAUACUGGCUCGCUUCUGAGUGGCUCUAUCUGUCUGUCGGCGCACUACAGAUAUGCACCUUCUGA
This is a long non-coding RNA of Oncorhynchus gorbuscha (pink salmon), 1151 nucleotides long. RefSeq lists it as uncharacterized. Lineage: Eukaryota; Metazoa; Chordata; Actinopteri; Salmoniformes; Salmonidae. The transcript is spliced from 3 exons. The record is from RefSeq and is a predicted model, not a curated record.